GACGAACGCUGGCGGCGUGCUUAACACAUGCAAGUCGAACGGAAAGGCCCUGCUUUUGUGGGGUGCUCGAGUGGCGAACGGGUGAGUAACACGUGAGUAACCUGCCCUUGACUUUGGGAUAACUUCAGGAAACUGGGGCUAAUACCGGCUAGGAGCUCCUGCUGCAUGGUGGGGGUUGGAAAGUUUCGGCGGUUGGGGAUGGACUCGCGGCUUAUCAGCUUGUUGGUGGGGUAGUGGCUUACCAAGGCUUUGACGGGUAGCCGGCCUGAGAGGGUGACCGGCCACAUUGGGACUGAGAUACGGCCCAGACUCGUACGGGAGGCAGCAGUGGGGAAGAUUGCACAAUGGGCGGAAGCCUGAUGCAGCAACGCCGCGUGCGGGAUGACGGCCUGCGGGUUGUAAACCACUUUCGCCUGUGACGGGGCGUGAGUGACGGUAAUGGGUAAAGAAGCACCGGCUAACUACGUG
RNAcentral lists this ribosomal RNA (468 nucleotides) under uncultured bacterium. RNAcentral describes it as "partial 16S ribosomal RNA". It matches the Rfam family "Bacterial small subunit ribosomal RNA", at positions 28 to 507 of the family's 1533-position model. The record is from RNAcentral.